RNAcentral lists this long non-coding RNA (623 nucleotides) under Pan troglodytes (chimpanzee). Its description in RNAcentral is "long non-coding RNA NONPTRT010841". The record is from RNAcentral. Lineage: Eukaryota; Metazoa; Chordata; Mammalia; Primates; Hominidae.
CUGGAACACUUUUGCAAAGACAGACGCGGUUCCUCCUACUUCAGAGCAAGUCUGGGCCAGCUGGGAUCCGACCAGAAACCGCAAGCGGAGGAGACGCAGGAGCGCAGGCUGAGCGCUAACUGAAGGCGCGACCUGAGCCCGGCGCCUGCUGGGGAGCUGCGCAGCCAGGACAGCGGUCGGCAGCACAGGGCCUGGGCGCAGGGCCCGCCGUCACCACCUCACGUCGGGAGCCAGCACUGCUGCCCGCCAGCCCUGCCGCCUGCCCUCGGACUUCCCAGGGCGCCCAGGGUCCUCCCAACACGCCUGCACCCACACCCGCCCCUGAGCCACAGUGACCUUGCAUUCCCCGCCCCCUGCCACACCUCCUGCGUGCCCGAGUGUCACCCUUAAAUACCGCUCUACACCCAGAGAGUGACGAAUACACCUCUGAAGACAGGGCAAGACUAAUUUCAAUGGGUCAGAAGGUUCUUGCAGGCACUGUUUUAUUUAAGAGUGCCUAUUUACUGGCAGGAGUAUUUGUGUGGGAGGAAGUAGGCUAAGACUGCUGUUGAACUUGAAGCUAAACUUGAAUGCCAUUUAAAAUAACAAUAAAAAUACACUUAAAACACCAAUCACAAUGAUAU